Populus trichocarpa (black cottonwood) is the source of this 1291-nucleotide long non-coding RNA. RefSeq lists it as uncharacterized. The record is from RefSeq and is a predicted model, not a curated record. The transcript is spliced from 3 exons. Lineage: Eukaryota; Viridiplantae; Streptophyta; Magnoliopsida; Malpighiales; Salicaceae.
UAUAAAGACAGAAAGAGCCCUGGCUUUUGUAUGAGUUAGGGUGCAUUUUAAAAAAAUGAUUUGGGCUAAGGCCUACCUCUAAGAAACUAAGUCUACGGCCACUGUUUACUUUGACUACCUCGGAAACUGAAGAGUGAAGAGGCAUGAAACCACAGCAACUCCAAAAUACCAAAACGGUGGCUCACUUUUCCACAAGCGAAAGGUAACGCGUAGGCUCCUCUGCAAUUCAUCAUUCGUUUAUCAACUUUAUCAUGCGCGUGAUGAGUGAAUGCGAGUGGAAGCAAGAUAAGAACAAUGUCUUCUUUUUAAGGUUGCUAGAAGAAUGAUCGAUACAGUUGUAUUCUAUACUGGGUUCCUGGUAGCUGCAAAGAAAGACUUGUGCCUAUAGCCUGUAAGUGGAUGGAUGUCUGCUGUGCUGUGGGACUGGGAUACCACUCCGAACCAAACCCUAAGAGACUCUCAGGGUUAUUACAUCUCUAAUAGCUAAUUAGUUGCAUGCUUUGCUGUGAUAUGACUACUCAUGCGCAACAACUUGCGGAUCUCAUUGACAUCGAAAAUGUUUCAUGAAUACAUAGAAGUGCCUUAUCAAGUGGAUGCUGAAUGCAACAUUCAUGCCCUAAAUGGGCUCUUGUCGAGUGCGAAUAGCCACUGGUGUGUUGCCCACUGAUUCUGCCUAGCUAUUACACCCACGCAAACGGUGAUGAGGACCCUGAAUGACCUACUAGGAAUCUUCUGUCACCUAUGGAAGAUUUUCGUAGCUUCUUUGGCUCAUAGAUCCCAAUACCAUCUUCUCAAAAUUUAAUGAGCAUGCAAUUGAAUGCUUUCACCACCUUGGACAUUUUAUUGUAUGGUGGGCUUGGGGUACCCCAGUUAAGGGACCCUUUUCUCACAAUGGUGCAGUUUAAAGGGAAUGUUAAUGGAGACCUGUGACUCCCAUGAACGUGGAUACUUAAAGUGCAAAAGCAAUAAAUGAAGAGAGAGAGAGAGAGUCAAAGAUGGUUUUGAUUGAGGAUAGUAUUUGAGGUUUCACGCCACAAUAUAUCUUAGAUACUAAAACACUUGCUCUACAAGAUAAGCAUGACAUUUUUUUUUGUGAAUUGUCAUUCCUUUGUUCUUGUUUUGAUAGUAGUCCCAGGGUCAAAUUCCACCAGGCUUGUGUAUUGGUGGCUAUUAUUGGAUAUAAGAUUAUGAUAUUUUGUUUUGUCCAGGGAUAUGCUUGUUCCUUGUGCUUUAGGUAUCUGGCAACCAUUGGAAUUGACUGAUCUAAGCAAACACACAAGCCAUUAAGUUA